This 489-nucleotide ribosomal RNA is filed under the name uncultured bacterium. Its description in RNAcentral is "bacterial SSU rRNA". It matches the Rfam family "Bacterial small subunit ribosomal RNA", at positions 8 to 522 of the family's 1533-position model. The record is from RNAcentral.
AGAGUUUGAUCAUGGCUCAGGAUGAACGUUGGCGGCGUGCCUAACACAUGCAAGUCGAACGAAAGUAGCAAUACUUUAGUGGCGCACGGGUGAGUAACACGUAGCUUACCUCCCUCCAAGCGCGGGAUAACGGCUCGAAAGAGCUGCUAAUACCGCAUAAGCUCACGGUCUCUAGAGGACUGUGAGAAAAGGGGCAACUCACUUGGAGACGGGGCUGCGGCCCAUCAGCUAGUUGGCGAGGUAAAGGCUCACCAAGGCGACGACGGGUAGGGGACCUGAGAGGGUGACCCCCCACACUGGGACUGAGACACGGCCCAGACUCCUACGGGAGGCAGCAGUGAGGAAUAUUGCACAAUGGGCGCAAGCCUGAUGCAGCGACGCCGCGUGAGUGAAGAAGGCCUUCGGGUCGUAAAGCUCUUUUCUGCGUGACGAGCAAGGACGGUAGCGCAGGAAUAAGUCUCGGCUAACUACGUGCCAGCAGCCGCGGUA